CCUACGGGAGGCAGCAGUGGGGAAUUUUGCGCAAUGGGCGAAAGCCUGACGCAGCAACGCCGCGUGGAGGAUGAAGGCCUUCGGGUCGUAAACUCCUGUCAGGGGGGACGAAAGUCCCGCGCAAGCGGGAUCUGACUGUACCUCCGGAGGAAGCCACGGCUAACUCCGUGCCAGCAGCCGCGGUAAUACGGAGGUGGCAAGCGUUGUUCGGAAUUACUGGGCGUAAAGGGCGCGUAGGCGGCUUGGCAAGUCAGAUGUGAAAGCCCCGGGCUCAACUCGGGAAUUGCAUCUGAAACUGCCUGGCUUGAGUCCUGGAGGGGGCAGUGGAAUUCCCAGUGUAGCGGUGAAAUGCGUAGAUAUUGGGAGGAACACCGGUGGCGAAGGCGGCUGCCUGGACAGUGACUGACGCUGAGGCGCGAAAGCUAGGGGAGCAAACGGGAUUAGAUACCCCUGUAGU
This 457-nucleotide ribosomal RNA is filed under the name uncultured Acidobacteriota bacterium. RNAcentral's name for it is "uncultured Acidobacteria bacterium partial 16S ribosomal RNA". It matches the Rfam family "Bacterial small subunit ribosomal RNA", at positions 338 to 794 of the family's 1533-position model. The record is from RNAcentral. Lineage: Bacteria; Pseudomonadati; Acidobacteriota.